RNAcentral lists this ribosomal RNA (281 nucleotides) under uncultured prokaryote. RNAcentral's name for it is "partial 16S ribosomal RNA". It matches the Rfam family "Bacterial small subunit ribosomal RNA", at positions 524 to 803 of the family's 1533-position model. The record is from RNAcentral.
UACGUAGGGGGCUAGCGUUAUCCGGAAUUACUGGGCGUAAAGGGUGCGUAGGUGGUUUCUUAAGUCAGAGGUGAAAGGCUACGGCUCAACCGUAGUAAGCCUUUGAAACUGGGAAACUUGAGUGCAGGAGAGGAGAGUGGAAUUCCUAGUGUAGCGGUGAAAUGCGUAGAUAUUAGGAGGAACACCAGUGGCGAAGGCGAUUCUCUGGACUGUAACUGACGCUGAGGCCCGAAAGCGUGGGGAGCAAACAGGAUUAGAUACCCUGGUAGUCCCUGAGCGGG